RNAcentral lists this ribosomal RNA (449 nucleotides) under uncultured bacterium. Its description in RNAcentral is "partial 16S ribosomal RNA". It matches the Rfam family "Bacterial small subunit ribosomal RNA", at positions 354 to 796 of the family's 1533-position model. The record is from RNAcentral.
GUCGAGAAUCUUUCACAAUGGGGGCAACCCUGAUGGAGCGACGCCGCGUGGAGGAUAAGGUCUUCGGAUUGUAAACUCCUGUCAUGCGUGAACAAGGUUGCUUGGUUAAUACCUGGGCAAAUUGAUGGUAACGCAAGAGGAAGAGACGGCUAACUCUGUGCCAGCAGCCGCGGUAAUACAGAGGUCUCAAGCGUUGUUCGGAAUCACUGGGCGUAAAGGGUGCGUAGGUGGCGUGGUAAGUCAGAUGUGAAAGCCCGGGGCUAAACCUCGGAACUGCAUCCGAUACUGCCAUGCUAGAGUACUGGAGAGGUGACUAGAAUUCUCGGUGUAGCAGUGAAAUGCGUAGAUAUCGAGAGGAAUACCAAAGGCGUAGGCAGGUCACUGGACAGUUACUGACACUGAGGCACGAAGGCCAGGGGAGCGAACGGGAUUAGAUACCCUGGUAGUCC